RNAcentral lists this ribosomal RNA (549 nucleotides) under Niallia circulans. RNAcentral describes it as "bacterial SSU rRNA". It matches the Rfam family "Bacterial small subunit ribosomal RNA", at positions 122 to 657 of the family's 1533-position model. Lineage: Bacteria; Bacillati; Bacillota; Bacilli; Caryophanales; Bacillaceae. The record is from RNAcentral.
CAACCUGCCUGUAAGACUGGGAUAACUUCGGGAAACCGGAGCUAAUACCGGAUAAUCCUUUUCCUCUCAUGAGGAAAAGCUGAAAGACGGUUUACGCUGUCACUUACAGAUGGGCCCGCGGCGCAUUAGCUAGUUGGUGAGGUAACGGCUCACCAAGGCGACGAUGCGUAGCCGACCUGAGAGGGUGAUCGGCCACACUGGGACUGAGACACGGCCCAGACUCCUACGGGAGGCAGCAGUAGGGAAUCUUCCGCAAUGGACGAAAGUCUGACGGAGCAACGCCGCGUGAGUGAUGAAGGUUUUCGGAUCGUAAAACUCUGUUGUUAGGGAAGAACAAGUACAAGAGUAACUGCUUGUACCUUGACGGUACCUAACCAGAAAGCCACGGCUAACUACGUGCCAGCAGCCGCGGUAAUACGUAGGUGGCAAGCGUUGUCCGGAAUUAUUGGGCGUAAAGCGCGCGCAGGCGGUCCUUUAAGUCUGAUGUGAAAGCCCACGGCUCAACCGUGGAGGGUCAUUGGAAACUGGGGGACUUGAGUGCAGAAGAGA